RNAcentral lists this ribosomal RNA (486 nucleotides) under uncultured bacterium. RNAcentral's name for it is "partial 16S ribosomal RNA". It matches the Rfam family "Bacterial small subunit ribosomal RNA", at positions 29 to 507 of the family's 1533-position model. The record is from RNAcentral.
AUGAACGCUAGCGAUAGGCUUAACACAUGCAAGUCGAGGGGCAGCACAAGGUAGCUUGCUAUCUGGGUGGCGACCGGCGCACGGGUGCGUAACGCGUAUGCAACUUGCCCUAUACAGGAGGAUAACCCGUCGAAAGACGGACUAAUACUGCGUAUGCUCACAACUUGGCAUCAAGUGGUGAGGAAAGAAAUUCGGUAUAGGAUAGGCAUGCGUCCCAUUAGCUUGUUGGUGAGGUAACGGCUCACCAAGGCAACGAUGGGUAGGGGAACUGAGAGGUUUAUCCCCCACACUGGUACUGAGACACGGACCAGACUCCUACGGGAGGCAGCAGUGAGGAAUAUUGGUCAAUGGGCGCGAGCCUGAACCAGCCAAGUCGCGUGAAGGAUGACUGUCUUAUGGAUUGUAAACUUCUUUUAUACGGGAAUAACAAGAGUCACGUGCGACUCCCUGCAUGUACCGUAUGAAUAAGCAUCGGCUAACUCCGUG